GAUGAACGCUGGCGGCGUGCCUAAUACAUGCAAGUCGAGCGAACGGACGAGAAGCUUGCUUCUCUGAUGUUAGCGGCGGACGGGUGAGUAACACGUGGAUAACCUACCUAUAAGACUGGGAUAACUUCGGGAAACCGGAGCUAAUACCGGAUAAUAUUUUGAACCGCAUGGUUCAAAAGUGAAAGACGGUCUUUCUGUCACUUAUAGAUGGAUCCGCGCUGCAUUAGCUAGUUGGUAAGGUAACGGCUUACCAAGGCAACGAUGCAUAGCCGACCUGAGAGGGUGAUCGGCCACACUGGAACUGAGACGCGGUCCAGACUCCUACGGGAGGCAGCAGUAGGGAAUCUGCCGCAAUGGGCGAAAGCCUGACGGAGCAACGCCGCGUGAGUGAUGAAGGUCUUCGGAUCGUAAAACUCUGUUAUUAGGGAAGAACAUAUGUGUAAGUAACUGUGCACAUCUUGACGGUACCUAAUCAGAAAGCCACGGCUAACUACGUG
Molecule: ribosomal RNA, 497 nt
Filed under: uncultured bacterium
Lineage: Bacteria
Description: partial 16S ribosomal RNA
Rfam family: Bacterial small subunit ribosomal RNA
Source: RNAcentral